AAAAACGUUACUCAUUGCAUCACAUGGAUGCCUCGACUCUGUACUCCGACGAAGGACGUGGCCAGCUGCGAUAAGCCUCGGUAAGCCGCUAGGCAGGCGUUAUAACCGGGGAUUUCCGAAUGGGGAAACCCAACCUUCGUAAUGGAAGGCUACCUCGCGUAAGCGGGGAGGUCACUCUGUGAACUGAAACAUCUCAUGUAACAGAGGAAAAGAAAUCAAUAGAGAUUCCCUUAGUAGUGGCGAGCGAAAAGGGAACAGCCCAAAUUCCACGAUAUUAUUGUGGAUGGUUGUAGGAGCCCAAUAUCUGAGUGUUUCAAUUUAGGCAAACGAUCCUGGAACGGACGGCCCAAGAGGGUGAGAGCCCCGUCGCCGAAAAAUUGAAACACAGUAGGGAUUUCCUGAGUAGGGUCGGACACGUGUAAUCCGGCCUGAAUCUAGGUGGACCACCACCUAAGGCUAAAUAGGUACAGAGAUCAAUAGCGGAUAGUACCGUGAGGGAAAGGUGAAAAGCACCCCGGAAGGGGGAUGAAAUAGUCUCUGAAAUGUGAUGCAUACAAAGAGUCGGAGCCCAUUUAUUUGGGUGACGGCGUGCCUUUUGCAUAAUGAGCCAACGAGUUUGUCGUAUGUGGCAGGUUAAGGCCUAAAAGCCGAAGCCGGAGCGAAAGCGAGUCCGAAUAGGGCGAUUUUUGAGUCGCAUGCGCAAGACCCGAAACCGGGUGAGCUAACCAUGGGCAGGGUGAAGGUCGUGGGAACACGAUUGGAGGCCCGCACCCACCAGUGCCGCAAGACUGGGGGAUGACCUGUGGUUAGGGGUGAAAAGCCUAUCGAACCCGGAGAUAGCUGGUUCUCCUCGAAAUGCCUUUAGGGGCAGCCUCGUUAUAUACGCUUGGGGGUAGAGCUACUGUUUGGAUGCGGGGGUCUUUCCGACCUACCAAAUCCUGACAAACUCCGAAUACCAAGUCUUUGAUAACGGGAGUGAGUCAGCGACAGCUAACUGCCGUUGACGAAAGGGAAAGAACCCUAAUCAUCUGCUAAGGUCCCUAAUUAUCGUUCAGUGGAAAAGGUAGUACGAAUGCAUCGACAACCAGGAGGUUGGCUUAGAAGCAGCCAUCCUUUAAAGAAAGCGUAACAGCUCACUGGUCGAUUGCAUUCGUGCGCCGAAAAUGUAUCGGGGCGAAACGAUAAACCGAAGCAAUGAGUGUGCCACUUUUAGUGGUGCGCAGUAGAGGAGCGUUCCGUUCAGCAGUGAAGCAGUACUGCGAAGUAUUGUGGAGCGGACGGACGUGAGAAUGUUGGCAUGAGUAACUACUAGGCAAGCGAAAAUCUUGCCCGCCGAAUCCCCAAGGUUUCCCACGCAACGUAAAUCGGCGUGGGGUUAGUCGGUCCUAAGGCCAGGCCGAAAGGCGUAACCGAUGGACAACAGGUCAAUAUUCCUGUACCUCAUGGAAAUCGCCAGAGGGCUUUACUUGAUAGUUUCGCAAGCCUCUGUUCUGUACCAUUCUAUGCUUACUGGAAUUGAAAAUGGUAAGUGGUAAGUGGAAAAUAAUUUUCCAUUUUCAACUUUCAAUUUUCCAUUUCUCUGAGACUAGGAUGGUGCAGAACAUGUUUACGGAAAAGGAUUGUGGAGUCCUAGGAGCGUUGUAACGGAGCGGGAGUACCAGAGCGUGUGUAUUGACUGCACGUGUAACACAUGAAGUAUUGAUUCCGGGAGGCAAAUCCCCCGGAUGAGCUGAGUGUGGAUACCAAAUGUCCGCCGCAAGGCGGGAGAGUCUGACUGCUUCUACUUCCAAGAAAAACAUCGCUCACAGAAAUCCGUGAGACCGUACCGCAAACCAACUCCGGUGGGGUGGUCGAGUAGACCAAGGCGAACGGGUAAUGUCGUGUCAAGGAACUCGGCAAAACAACGUCCGUAACUUCGGGAUAAGGACUGACUCCGCGCAAGCGGAGCCUGCAAUAAAUGAGUCCAGGCGACUGUUUACCAAAAACACAGGUCUCUGCGAAGUUGUAAAACAACGUAUAGAGGCUGAUGCCUGCCCAGUGUCAGAAGGUUACGUGAGGGGAUUUACGUCUCUGAUCUAAGCCCUGAUGAACGGCGGCCGUAACUAUAACGGUCCUAAGGUAGCGAAAUUCCUUGUCGGGUGGUCGAUAAGCACUUGCCCGAAUGAGAGGUAACUCUCAGCGCUAGGGAAUUCGUGAAUGGCAUGAAUUAGCGUAAUAACGUGUCUAUAUGCUGGAAAAUCCCAUGUAUCCCUUAAACCGAAAGGUAAAGGGUGGGGACAAUCAGCAGGAAAGACCCCGCGAGUGCGGGGAAUCCUCAGAGACUACAUGACACGCUCCAAUUAACUUUGGAAGAUGAUAUAGUCCGAUCUCCAUGGCGACAUGGAGGGUAGUAAAAUCGUACUGCUGAUAAAAACAAUCGUGGAACAGAUCAACACGUCCCCUUCGGGGACUCUUAACAAUUGACACGCGCCUUCGGUGCUUUUAACAAUUAACAAUGUUAAAAGUGAGCGAAGCGAACGUGUUAAAUGUCAAUUGUUGAUUGUUGCGCGCAUCAGCGCGCUUGAAGUUCCGACCCGCACGAAUGGUAUAACGGUCUGGGCACUGUCUCGACACGAUGCCCGGUGAAAUUGCAGUCCCGGUACAAAUGCCGGGUUGAUUACGGAAGGACGAAAAGACCCUAUGAAGCUUUACUAUACGCUGGCAUUGCAGAGUUGGUCUGCUUAUGCAGGAUAGGUGGGAGACUUUGAAGCUCGGACGUUAGUCCGGGUGGAGUCAUCCUUGAGAUACCACCUUUGUGUUCUGAUUCUGCUCACUCAUUUCUUGUACACAAGAGAUGGAGACAGUGCUUGCCGGGUAGUUUAACUGGGGCGGUUGCCUCCUAAAAUGUAACGGAGGCGUGCAAUGGUAACCUAGCGCCGGAUGGAAAUCGGCGUGGUCGUAUAAUCGCACAAGGUUGCCUGACUGUGAGACUUACAGGUCGAGCAGAGACGAAAGUCGGUGAUAGUGAUCUGGUGUCCUGAGCUGUUUUUAAUGGCUCUUACCACGUGGGUGGGACAUCACUCAACGGAUAAAAGUUACUCUAGGGAUAACAGGCUGAUCGCUCCCAAGCGCCCACAGCGACGGAGCGGUUUGGCACCUCAUUCGGGGUGCUACAGAAGUAAUUCUGUACCAAAAAUUCGGCUUAUAACGGUGAAACCGUCACGAGCAUUGUGGAAAUGAAAUGCUCGCCGGCAAUACCGUGGGAAGUCUGCAAUGACAAUUAACAAUUAACACGGGCACUUCGUGCCCUAUUGACAAUUGACAGAGACGGCAAUGAUUAAACGCAAGUUUCACUCAUUGUUUCAAAAGUCAAUUGUUAAAAGUCCCCGCAGGGACGUGUCAAUAGUCAAUUGUCGUAGUAUGACCCCGUAACGACUGACCCGAAAGGGGAGAGCUCUUGGAAAUAUAUAUAUAAGGGCUAAUACGCCGAAUCCUGCUUCAUUAAAUCAGAUUAUGGUCAUAAGAGACCUAAGAUCGAUUGCAGGAAAAAGAUAUAGUCUGCGCCAUAUGAAAAUAUGGAAUUAGUACGAUGUCGGCUCAUCGCAUCCUGGGGCUGAAGAAGGUCCCAAGGGUUUGGCUGUUCGCCAAUGAAAGCGGUACGCGAGCUGGGUUCAGAACGUCGUGAGACAGUUUGGCCUCUAUCCUCCGUAAUCACUUAGAGACGUGAAGGAAGCUGCUCCUAGUACGAGAGGACCGGAGUGGACGAACCUCUGGUGACCCUGUUGUUGUGUCAACGGCAUCGCAGGAUAGCUAUGUUCGGAAGGGAUAACCGCUGAAGGCAUCUAAGCGGGAAGCCCCCCCUAAGAUUGCGUCUCUCCAUAAAUCCGCCGCAAGAACAGCGGUUAGAUCGGCCACAGGUGUAAGCAUGGUAACGUGUUCAGCCGAGUGGUACGAAUGGAUGAUUGAACGUUUUUAA
This 3955-nucleotide ribosomal RNA is filed under the name Candidatus Peribacteraceae bacterium. Its description in RNAcentral is "23S ribosomal RNA". It matches the Rfam family "Bacterial large subunit ribosomal RNA". Lineage: Bacteria; Candidatus Peregrinibacteriota; Candidatus Peribacteria; Candidatus Peribacterales. The record is from RNAcentral.